RNAcentral lists this unclassified non-coding RNA (351 nucleotides) under soil metagenome. RNAcentral describes it as "partial contains 5.8S ribosomal RNA, internal transcribed spacer 2, and large subunit ribosomal RNA". The stretch from base 1 to 119 matches the Rfam family "5.8S ribosomal RNA", at positions 35 to 154 of the family's 154-position model. The record is from RNAcentral.
GAUGAAGAACGUAGCGAAAUGCGAUACGUAAUGUGAAUUGCAAAUUCAGUGAAUCAUCGAAUCUUUGAACGCACAUUGCGCCCGCCAGUAUUCUGGCGGGCAUGCCUGUUCGAGCGUCAUUACAACCCUCAGGCCCCCGGGCCUGGCGUUGGGGAUCGGCGGAGCCCCCCGUGGGCACACGCCGUCCCCCAAAUGCAGUGGCGGUCCCGCCGCAGCUUCCAUCGCGUAGUAGCUAACACCUCGCGACUGGAGAGCGGCGCGGCCACGCCGUAAAACACCCAACUCUUCUGAAGUUGACCUCGAAUCAGGUAGGAAUACCCGCUGAACUUAAGCAUAUCAAUAAGCGGAGGA